This 483-nucleotide ribosomal RNA is filed under the name uncultured bacterium. RNAcentral's name for it is "partial 16S ribosomal RNA". It matches the Rfam family "Bacterial small subunit ribosomal RNA", at positions 30 to 506 of the family's 1533-position model. The record is from RNAcentral.
AUUGAACGCUGGCGGCAGGCCUAACACAUGCAAGUCGAGCGGAUGAAGGGAGCUUGCUCCUGGAUUCAGCGGCGGACGGGUGAGUAAUGCCUAGGAAUCUGCCUGGUAGUGGGGGAUAACGUCCGGAAACGGGCGCUAAUACCGCAUACGUCCUGAGGGAGAAAGUGGGGGAUCUUCGGACCUCACGCUAUCAGAUGAGCCUAGGUCGGAUUAGCUAGUUGGUGGGGUAAAGGCCUACCAAGGCGACGAUCCGUAACUGGUCUGAGAGGAUGAUCAGUCAAACUGGAACGGGAAAACGUCCCAGACUCUUAGGGAAGGAAGAAGGGGGGAAAAUUGGAAAAGGGGGGAAAGCCUGAUCAAGCCAUGCCGGGUGUGGGAAGAAGGUCUUGGGAUUGUAAACCCCUUUAAGUUGGGAGGAAGGGAAGUAAGUUAAUACCUUGCUGUUUUGCGGUAACAACAAGAAUAAGAACCGCCUAACUUCGU